UUAGUGGCGGACGGGUGAGUAACGCGUGGAAAACCUGCCGUAUACUGGGGGAUAACACUUAGAAAUAGGUGCUAAUACCGCAUAAGCGCACAGCUUCGCAUGAAGCGGUGUGAAAAACUCUGGUGGUAUACGACGGUUCCGCGUCUGAUUAGCUAGUUGGUGGGGUAAUGGCCUACCAAGGCAACGAUCAGUAGCCGGCCUGAGAGGGUGAACGGCCACAUUGGGACUGAGACACGGCCCAAACUCCUACGGGAGGCAGCAG
RNAcentral lists this ribosomal RNA (262 nucleotides) under uncultured bacterium. Its description in RNAcentral is "partial 16S ribosomal RNA". It matches the Rfam family "Bacterial small subunit ribosomal RNA", at positions 92 to 354 of the family's 1533-position model. The record is from RNAcentral.